UGAAGAUAGGUGAUUCAAAGACAUCUGUGC
This 30-nucleotide non-coding RNA is filed under the name Mus musculus (house mouse). Lineage: Eukaryota; Metazoa; Chordata; Mammalia; Rodentia; Muridae. The record is from RNAcentral.